Molecule: ribosomal RNA, 328 nt
Filed under: Gracililima nyassae (Black file snake)
Lineage: Eukaryota; Metazoa; Chordata; Lepidosauria; Squamata; Lamprophiidae
Description: partial 12S ribosomal RNA
Source: RNAcentral
UAAAAACUUAAAAUUUAAAAGACUUGACGGUGCUUCACACCAACCUAGAGGAGCCUGUCUAAUAACCGAUAACCCACGAUUAACCCAACCCACUCUGGCCACACAGUCUAUAUACCGCCGUCGCCAGCUUACCUCGUGAGAGAGACAAAGUGAGCUAAAUAGUACCACACUAACACGACAGGUCGAGGUGUAACUAAUGAGCGGGACAAAGAUGGGCUACAUUUCUCCAACUAGAAAACACGAACAGACCGCGAAAACGGAAACUGAAGGCGGAUUUAGUAGUAAGAUAAGAAUAAAAUACUUAACUGAACAAUGCAAUGAAGCGCGC